GAUUCGUACAAUUUGUCAAAAUAUUUACCUUUAUUUGUUUAUCUUUUCCUUUGAGAAUAAGGUAAUUAAUUGAAGUGCUGAGCAAAUAUGGCAGAAUUAAGUCUGGGUGUUCUUAUUGAUAUCGUGGACGAGGAGUGGAUGAGAGACACUUUACCUGAUGACGAUCUCCCUCUACCGCCAGUGCUGGUUGUUCGGACUGAUGAUGCUGAAGAUUCAAAUCAAGAGACUCAACAAGUUAAUGGAGACACUUGGCAUGACCUUGCACUAGGCAAUCAGUGAACCAUUCUGGUUGCGAGGGAACUUGGUAUUAUGCUGUGGAAGCAGUACAAAUCUAUUGGAAGCUUUGUUAUGUUGACAUGUGUUUACGUUGUAUGAAUCUAAAUUUUAGACUUUUAACAUGCAAUUGAGUUGAAGUGGCCUCAAUUUCGGAACUCCCAACUCUCUUUUAUAUUUUAGGCUACUUAAGCUCUGUCGAGCUUGCAGUUGGAUUUUGAAUGUGUGAUAAUAGUAGUAUCCAUUUGAGUGUUUAAAAAUCCAACUGCAAGCUCGACAGAGCUU
This 558-nucleotide unclassified non-coding RNA is filed under the name Hevea brasiliensis (rubber tree). The record is from RNAcentral. Lineage: Eukaryota; Viridiplantae; Streptophyta; Magnoliopsida; Malpighiales; Euphorbiaceae.